AACGCUGGCGGCGUGCUUAACACAUGCAAGUCGAGCGAUGAAGCUCUUCGGAAGUGGAUUAGCGGCGGACGGGUGAGUAACACGUGGGUAACCUGCCUCAUAGAGGGGAAUAGCCUUUCGAAAGGAAGAUUAAUACCGCAUAAGAUUGUAGUACCGCAUGGUACAGCAAUUAAAGGAGUAAUCCGCUAUGAGAUGGACCCGCGUCGCAUUAGCUAGUUGGUGAGGUAACGGCUCACCAAGGCGACGAUGCGUAGCCGACCUGAGAGGGUGAUCGGCCACAUUGGGACUGAGACACGGCCCAGACUCCUACGGGAGGCAGCAGUGGGGAAUAUUGCACAAUGGGGGAAACCCUGAAUGCAGCAACGCCGCGUGAGUGAUGACGGUCUUCGGAUUGUAAAACUCUGUCUUUGGGGACGAUAAUGACGGUACCCAAGGAGGAAGCCACGGCUAACUACGUGCCAGCAGCCGC
Molecule: ribosomal RNA, 469 nt
Filed under: uncultured bacterium
Lineage: Bacteria
Description: bacterial SSU rRNA
Rfam family: Bacterial small subunit ribosomal RNA
Source: RNAcentral